UAUGGUGGAGGUGGAGAUUUGUAAGAAGAUGGUGACUGCUCAUAGUAUGUUGGAGGAGGUGGAGGUGACUUAUAGUACGAGGGUGAUUUCUCAUAAUAAGUUGGCGGUGGUGGAGAUUUAUAGUACACUGGGGACUUGUAAUAUUCUUUUGGUGCCGGUGACUUAUAAUAUUUAGAAGGAGCAGGUGAUUUAUAGUAUUUUGUUGCGGAUGGUGACGUGUAGU
This 223-nucleotide long non-coding RNA is filed under the name Nicotiana benthamiana. RNAcentral describes it as "long non-coding RNA (NBEN_LNC000704)". The record is from RNAcentral. Lineage: Eukaryota; Viridiplantae; Streptophyta; Magnoliopsida; Solanales; Solanaceae.